This 504-nucleotide ribosomal RNA is filed under the name uncultured bacterium. RNAcentral's name for it is "partial 16S ribosomal RNA". It matches the Rfam family "Bacterial small subunit ribosomal RNA", at positions 30 to 523 of the family's 1533-position model. The record is from RNAcentral.
AUUGAACGCUGGCGGCAUGCCUUACACAUGCAAGUCGAACGGCAGCAUGGAGAGCUUGCUCUCUGAUGGCGAGUGGCGAACGGGUGAGUAAUGCAUCGGAACGUACCGUGUAAUGGGGGAUAACGUAGCGAAAGUUACGCUAAUACCGCAUACGACCUGAGGGUGAAAGCAGGGGAUCGCAAGACCUUGCGUUAUACGAGCGGCCGAUGUCAGAUUAGCUAGUUGGUGAGGUAAAGGCUCACCAAGGCGACGAUCUGUAGCGGGUCUGAGAGGAUGAUCCGCCACACGGGGACUGAGGCACGGCCCAGACUCCUACGGGAGGCAGCAGUGGGGAAGUUUGGACAACGGGGGCAACCCUGAUCCAGCCAUGCCGCGUGAGUGAAGAAGGCCUUCGGGUUGUAAAGCUCUUUCGGCCGGGAAGAAAUCGCACAGGCUAAUACUCUGUGUGGAUGACGGUACCGGCAUAAGAAGCACCGGCUAACUACGUGCCAGCCGCCGCCGUAA